RNAcentral lists this ribosomal RNA (738 nucleotides) under Burkholderia sp. SP48B. RNAcentral describes it as "bacterial SSU rRNA". It matches the Rfam family "Bacterial small subunit ribosomal RNA", at positions 56 to 789 of the family's 1533-position model. Lineage: Bacteria; Pseudomonadati; Pseudomonadota; Betaproteobacteria; Burkholderiales; Burkholderiaceae. The record is from RNAcentral.
UGCAGUCGAACGGCAGCGCGGGAGCAAUCCUGGCGGCGAGUGGCGAACGGGUGAGUAAUACAUCGGAACAUGUCCAGUAGUGGGGGAUAGCCCGGCGAAAGCCGGAUUAAUACCGCAUACGAUCUAUGGAUGAAAGCGGGGGAUCGCAAGACCUCGCGCUAUUGGGGUGGCCGAUGGCGGAUUAGCUAGUUGGUGGGGUAAAGGCCCACCAAGGCGACGAUCCGUAGCUGGUCUGAGAGGACGACCAGCCACACUGGGACUGAGACACGGCCCAGACUCCUACGGGAGGCAGCAGUGGGGAAUUUUGGACAAUGGGCGAAAGCCUGAUCCAGCAAUGCCGCGUGUGUGAAGAAGGCCUUCGGGUUGUAAAGCACUUUUGUCCGGAAAGAAAUCCUGGUGGCUAAUAUCCGCCGGGGAUGACGGUACCGGAAGAAUAAGCACCGGCUAACUACGUGCCAGCAGCCGCGGUAAUACGUAGGGUGCGAGCGUUAAUCGGAAUUACUGGGCGUAAAGCGUGCGCAGGCGGUUUUGUAAGACCGAUGUGAAAUCCCCGGGCUUAACCUGGGAACUGCAUUGGUGACUGCAAGGCUUGAGUAUGGCAGAGGGGGGUAGAAUUCCACGUGCAGCAGUGAAAUGCGUAGAGAUGUGGAGGAAUNCCGAUGGCGAAGGCAGCCCCCUGGGUCNAAUNCUGACUCUCAUGCACGAAAGCGUGGGGAGCAAACANGAUUAGAUACCCUG